UCCGCGUGAGUGAAGAAGGCCUUCGGGUUGUAAAGCUCUUUYGCAAGGGAAGAAAACUUACACAAUAAUACUGUGUGAGGCUGACGGUACCUUGAUAAGAAGCACCGGCUAACUACGUGCCAGCAGCCGCGGUAAUACGUAGGGAGCGAGCGUUAAUCGGAAUUACUGGGCGUAAAGCGUGCGCAGGCGGUUUUGUAAGUCAGAUGUGAAAUCCCCGAGCUCAACUUGGGAACUGCGUUUGAAACURCAARACUAGAAUAUGUCAGAGGGGGGUAGAAUUCCACGUGUAGCAGUGAAAUGCGUAGAGAUGUGGAGGAAUACCAAUGGCGAAGGCAGCCCCCUGGGAUAAUAUUGACGCUCAUGCACGAAAGCGUGGGGAGCAAACAGGAUUAGAUACCCUGGUAGUCCACGCCCUAAACGAUGUCUACUAGUUGUUGGUGGAGUAAAAUCCAUGAGUAACGCAGCUAACGCGUGAAGUAGACCGCCU
RNAcentral lists this ribosomal RNA (487 nucleotides) under uncultured bacterium. RNAcentral's name for it is "bacterial SSU rRNA". It matches the Rfam family "Bacterial small subunit ribosomal RNA", at positions 396 to 874 of the family's 1533-position model. The record is from RNAcentral.